Molecule: ribosomal RNA, 407 nt
Filed under: Verrucomicrobiota bacterium
Lineage: Bacteria; Pseudomonadati; Verrucomicrobiota
Description: Verrucomicrobia bacterium partial 16S ribosomal RNA
Rfam family: Bacterial small subunit ribosomal RNA
Source: RNAcentral
UGAGGAAUAUUGGACAAUGGAGGAAACUCUGAUCCAGCAAUUCUGUGUGUGUGAAGAAGGUUUUAGGACUGUAAAACACUUUUAGUAGGGAAGAAAAAAAUGACGGUACCUACAGAAGAAGCAACGGCUAAAUACGUGCCAGCAGCCGCGGUAAUACGUAUGUUGCGAGCGUUAUCCGGAAUUAUUGGGCUUAAAGGGCAUCUAGGCGGUAAGACAAGUUGAAGGUGAAAACCUGUGGCUCAACCAUAGGCUUGCCUACAAAACUGUUGAACUAGAGUACUGGAAAGGUGGGUGGAACUACACGAGUAGAGGUGAAAUUCGUAGAUAUGUAUAGGAAUGCCGAUGAUGAAGAUAACGCACUGGACAGAAACUGACGCUGAAGUGCGAAAGCUAGGGGAGCAAACAGG